GGAGAUGUGGCUCAGUGGUAGAGUGCUCACCUACCAUUGUAUGAGGCACUGGGUUCAAUCCUCAGCACCA
This 70-nucleotide transfer RNA is filed under the name Marmota monax (woodchuck). RNAcentral describes it as "tRNA.Gly". The record is from RNAcentral. Lineage: Eukaryota; Metazoa; Chordata; Mammalia; Rodentia; Sciuridae.